AAGAUCAUCAAGUGCAACUGUUAACCGAGCACUGCCAAGUCUACCACUAAUCUGUGUAAUCACAUGGUGUCAUCACAUCAGUACCCAGGAGACUCACGGGAACCUUUGGCAAAGCAGCUUGUGCCGUGAAUGUUGUUCCUCAGUUCUGCCGCCUCCUGUUUGUUUUCUUACAGAAGUGUUGCUAAGUGCCACGGUUUGUCUCCACUGCACUGCUGAGUUGCUCUGUUAAAGUAAUGUUGAUAGCAACGCUUUCUCCAGGAAGGAGAGACCUGUCUUCACUUUCUGAUUCAUAAGGAAAGACAAACACCUGAAUUUGUCAGAGAUGUAUUUCAGGCCCCCAGGCGUUUGCACUUGUCUUUUACAAAGCUCAUACUGAUUUUCUGAAUACUUGCAUCGUUAUUUAUAGAAAAGCUUUUAAGGGAAGUCUCCAAUGCUGGAACUCAGUGCUUAUUCUGGAGAAGCUAAAGCUUCAUCAGUUUGUCACAUUUUCUUACUUAAGGAUGAACCUGGGCUGCAACAUGUCCAUUAGAAAGAUAAGUUGGAUGCUUUGGAGACUGACCAGUUGGCAGUAA
RNAcentral lists this long non-coding RNA (572 nucleotides) under Anser brachyrhynchus (Pink-footed goose). RNAcentral describes it as "lncRNA (ENSABRG00000005750.1)". The record is from RNAcentral. Lineage: Eukaryota; Metazoa; Chordata; Aves; Anseriformes; Anatidae.